GCAAUCAUGGCCGAGCGGUCUAAGGCGCCACGUUAAGGAGUACCCUUAAUACAAUCUCAGAUUCCGUGGUCCGAAAGGGCGUGAGUUCGAAUCUCACCGAUAUCA
RNAcentral lists this transfer RNA (105 nucleotides) under Lasiosphaeris hirsuta. Its description in RNAcentral is "tRNA-Leu". It matches the Rfam family "tRNA". Rfam says of the family: Transfer RNA (tRNA) molecules are approximately 80 nucleotides in length. Their secondary structure includes four short double-helical elements and three loops (D, anti-codon, and T loops). Lineage: Eukaryota; Fungi; Ascomycota; Sordariomycetes; Sordariales; Lasiosphaeriaceae. The record is from RNAcentral.